This 287-nucleotide unclassified non-coding RNA is filed under the name uncultured fungus. RNAcentral describes it as "partial contains small subunit ribosomal RNA, internal transcribed spacer 1, and 5.8S ribosomal RNA". The stretch from base 1 to 74 matches the Rfam family "Eukaryotic small subunit ribosomal RNA", at positions 1758 to 1831 of the family's 1831-position model. Lineage: Eukaryota; Fungi. The record is from RNAcentral.
GCAAACCUUGGUCAUUUAGAGGAAGUAAAAGUCGUAACAAGGUUUCCGUAGGUGAACCUGCGGAAGGAUCAUUACCGAGUUCGGGGCUCUGCCCCAACUCCCACCCUUGUUUACCAAGCGUUGCUUCGGCGAGACGUUGGAAGCAACCAUCGGCGAUUUACCAAAGAACCGAUGCGCGCUCGCCGGACUCCAAUACUCUGAGACUAUGUACCGUCAGAUGAAACAAGCAAUUAAUAAAAACUUUCAACAACGGAUCUCUUGGUUUUGGCAUCGAUGAAGAACGCAGC